Molecule: non-coding RNA, 378 nt
Organism: Actinobaculum suis
Lineage: Bacteria; Bacillati; Actinomycetota; Actinomycetes; Actinomycetales; Actinomycetaceae
Source: Rfam
GGGGAUGAUCGGUUUCGACGGUGGUAGUUAGUUGGAGGGAAGCGGGUCGAGGAGGCAGGGUCCACUCGAUAACGAUCUCUGCAAACCAAUAGGUGCCAACAAGAACAAGAGCACCGAUUUCGCCCUCGCUGCCUAAGAUAGCGAGCUUCGAAAUCUGUCGGCCUUAGCGUAGCUUUCCGCUAGGGGUCCGGCAUCGUUUAGAAAGCCACUGGGUGGCGGGCCUGCUACGGGUUCGUCUCCGACAUUUAGUAGAUAGGUUCGUCAGGGCCUGGUUCGCGUGGAACCCUGGAGCCGAAAAUAACUAGCAAGCGAACUGCACCCGGAGAAGUCUUCAGUAGGUACCAUCGGACCGGGGUUCGAUUCCCCGCAUCUCCACAA